UUCGUGAGAUGCUGAGGGUGGGAGUCAGGUAACUGGCUAUCCACCUCAUUAGUUAAACACCAGCUGGGGAGAAGUGAACAAAGAAGUCACUAUUCCCGGGAAUGCCCUUCUCUUUCCAGCCCCAAAAAGGGCUGAGGCUGCUGAGAUGGAGGGGACUCACAGGAAGAACCUAGGCAGCCCUUCCCAUUACUGAGAGUUCUAAGACCAGCAAGGUUGCGAUGUCCACCCAGUGGGGUUACUGGAAAUCCCCCCAUUCAGAAGGCAUUCAUCCACUUUCUGAAGCUUGCUGUGGUGGUGGGAGUUGAUGAGCAGUGCUACCUUGGGUCAAGACAAUCAUUCCUCUCAAUAGGUACUGACUACAUUCUUUGGUCUUGGCACAGCUGGAUAUCAAAAUGCACUGAGCACAAUAC
This 410-nucleotide long non-coding RNA is filed under the name Bos taurus (domestic cattle). RNAcentral describes it as "long non-coding RNA NONBTAT014915". The record is from RNAcentral. Lineage: Eukaryota; Metazoa; Chordata; Mammalia; Artiodactyla; Bovidae.